GAUGAACGCUGGCGGCGUGCCUAAUACAUGCAAGUCGAGCGAACGGACGAGAAGCUUGCUUCUCUGAUGUUAGCGGCGGACGGGUGAGUAACACGUGGAUAACCUACCUAUAAGACUGGGAUAACUUCGGGAAACCGGAGCUAAUACCGGAUAAUAUUUUGAACCGCAUGGUUCAAAAGUGAAAGACGGUCUUGCUGUCACUUAUAGAUGGAUCCGCGCUGCAUUAGCUAGUUGGUAAGGUAACGGCUUACCAAGGCAACGAUGCAUAGCCGACCUGAGAGGGUGAUCGCCCACACUGGAGCUGAGACACGGUCCAGACGCCUACGGGAGGCAGCAGUAGGGAAUCUUCCGCAAUGGGCGAAAGCCUGACGGAGCAACGCCGAGUGAGUGAUGAAGGUCUUCGGAUCGUAAAACUCUGUUAUUAGGGAAGAACAUAUGUGUAAGUAGCUGUGCACAUCUUGACGGUACCUAAUCAGAAAGCCACGGCUAACUACGUG
Molecule: ribosomal RNA, 497 nt
Filed under: uncultured bacterium
Lineage: Bacteria
Description: partial 16S ribosomal RNA
Rfam family: Bacterial small subunit ribosomal RNA
Source: RNAcentral